UUAGAUUAGCAUGCUUAUUGGAUAGAGUAGUUUAGCAUGCUAAUUGUCACCUCGCUAUAUUAUCUUAUCAUGCUAAUUGGUUAAAUAUAAAGUAUGUUAUUGUAGCAUGCUACUGAUUAGCUUGCUUACCACAAGAUUUUUUUUUUCUGGAUAAUUUGCAGCUUUGGUUAUAUAAUGUGGCAUGCGAUGUGUGAUUUAAGAGACAGGACUUUAGGAUUUUUAAUCAGGCACUGAACAGGAUACCUAAAAAAGUUGUUAGUCUUAAAGCCACCAUUAAGAGAGAAGCCAUUACCUGAACUACCUCAGUGAUAUUUAGAAAGCCUCAGUUAUUAGAACAUUUAUAUCUAGCAGUUUAUCAACAAAAAGUCCAAAAAAGUGAGAUUGGCCAAAGAAAUACACAAGGGAGGAAAGAAAGCUGCAUGAUCGAUGAACAUUGAUGGGAUUGGUGAAAUGUUUUAAAGGCAGGGUUUAGCAAAAGGGCCAAUUGAUUGUUUCUCCACUGGGAAUAUAAAAACAACAACAACAACAACAACAAAAACAAUGGCCGACCUCAUCCAAAAAUGGGAUAUUUUUACUGCAACAGCCACAAGGGAGAUUGAAAUAAUUUCCAGACCAACGCACACUACCUGGAAGGACGGAAAUGACCCUGCCAGGAUAUUCAGUGUAGAUGAGGAUCAUGCGCUGCCCUCCAUCCCCACCUCGACACACACACUUCCAGUUCUGGCCUUUCCUGCCAGUGUGUUGACACGCAAUUAACUGGAGCAAAAAUAGUACUAGGGCAGCAGUUGCAGUAAUGGGCACCAUGUGCAGAGGUCAGGACCCAUUUGUCCAGUCCAGCCCACCAUAGACAUGGUCCUCCACCAUCCCGACACUGUCUCUGCAUCAGGGGUCCAUGAAGACAUACGGCUAAUGACAGCAGGAUGCAGGAACAGCCCUUCACUGGAGCCAGAGAGAGCCUGUUAGUCAUGGAUAAUGAAUGAUAUUACUCUUUCAGGGUUGGGGCUUUUGUCUCAUUACUUCUGAAGGCAUAAGGGACUCCAGUAGUAUUGACACUACCAUAAAGACUUUAGGCCUGAUGGGCCAUACUGACCAUCUGCUUUUAUCCCAAUCCUGAGCUGGCUAUAGAGGCAUCAGGGUUGGAAUUAAUGGACAUUUCUUCAGUUAGAUUGAUGUGUCUGUACUCCACUGAUUAAUGCAUAAAUCGCAUCUCUCUGCUCCCUU
Molecule: long non-coding RNA, 1221 nt
Organism: Cyprinus carpio (common carp)
Lineage: Eukaryota; Metazoa; Chordata; Actinopteri; Cypriniformes; Cyprinidae
Source: RefSeq, a predicted model, not a curated record